UACGUAGGGUGCAAGCGUUGUCCGGAAUUAUUGGGCGUAAAGAGCUCGUAGGCGGUUUGUCGCGUCUGCUGUGAAAACUCGGGGCUUAACUCCGGGCCUGCAGUGGGUACGGGCAGACUGGAGUGCGGUAGGGGAGACUGGAAUUCCUGGUGUAGCGGUGAAAUGCGCAGAUAUCAGGAGGAACACCGGUGGCGAAGGCGGGUCUCUGGGCCGUAACUGACGCUGAGGAGCGAAAGCGUGGGGAGCGAACAGG
Molecule: ribosomal RNA, 253 nt
Filed under: uncultured bacterium
Lineage: Bacteria
Description: partial 16S ribosomal RNA
Rfam family: Bacterial small subunit ribosomal RNA
Source: RNAcentral